RNAcentral lists this ribosomal RNA (492 nucleotides) under uncultured bacterium. Its description in RNAcentral is "partial 16S ribosomal RNA". It matches the Rfam family "Bacterial small subunit ribosomal RNA", at positions 28 to 507 of the family's 1533-position model. The record is from RNAcentral.
GAUGAACGCUAGCUACAGGCUUAACACAUGCAAGUCGAGGGGAAACGACAUCGAAAGCUUGCUUUUGAUGGGCGUCGACCGGCGCACGGGUGAGUAACGCGUAUCCAACCUGCCCAUCACUUGGGGAUAACCUUGCGAAAGUAAGACUAAUACCCAAUGAUAUCUCUAGAAGACAUCUGAAAGAGAUUAAAGAUUUAUCGGUGAUGGAUGGGGAUGCGUCUGAUUAGCUUGUUGGCGGGGUAACGGCCCACCAAGGCAACGAUCAGUAGGGGUUCUGAGAGGAAGGUCCCCCACAUUGGAACUUGGACACGGUCCAAACUCCUACGGGAGGCAGCAGUGAGGAAUAUUGGUCAAUGGGCGAGAGCCUGAACCAGCCAAGUAGCGUGCAGGAAGACGGCCCUAUGGGUUGUAAACUGCUUUUAUAAGGGAAUAAAGUGAGAGUCGUGACUCUUUUUGUAUGUACCUUAUGAAUAAGGACCGGCUAAUUCCGUG